This 68-nucleotide small nucleolar RNA is filed under the name Ursus americanus (American black bear). The record is from RNAcentral. Lineage: Eukaryota; Metazoa; Chordata; Mammalia; Carnivora; Ursidae.
GGCAAGUCUUUAUCUAACAUCACAAGGAUCUCUCGCCCAAUGAGUGGAGUUUGAUAGUAAUUCUCGCU